RNAcentral lists this ribosomal RNA (253 nucleotides) under uncultured bacterium. Its description in RNAcentral is "partial 16S ribosomal RNA". It matches the Rfam family "Bacterial small subunit ribosomal RNA", at positions 524 to 776 of the family's 1533-position model. The record is from RNAcentral.
UACGGAGGGUGCAAGCGUUGUUCGGAUUUACUGGGCGUAAAGCGCGCGCAGGCGGAUUAUCAAGUCAGAUGUGAAAUCUCGGGGCUCAACCCCGAAACUGCGUCUGAAACUGAUAGUCUAGAGUCUCAGAGGGGGCAGGGGAAUUUCACGUGUAGGGGUAAAAUCCGUAGAGAUGUGAAGGAACACCAGUGGCGAAGGCGCCUGCCUGGAUGAGUACUGACGCUGAGGCGCGAAAGCGUGGGGAGCGAAAGGG